Molecule: long non-coding RNA, 512 nt
Filed under: Mytilus galloprovincialis (Mediterranean mussel)
Lineage: Eukaryota; Metazoa; Mollusca; Bivalvia; Mytilida; Mytilidae
Source: RNAcentral
GAGCUGGUGAGUUGUUAUUACAAACUAAUUAGCAUGUUUGUGUCUAAGCAUUCAGUGAUCAAAUGGUUUUUUAACGGUCACAAAUUCGUAAAUGCUAUUCAGAAGCUAAACUGUUUAAUUAAUUAUUGUGUUUAAAGCAUUUCACUGGAUUAAGAAGUCGUGCAACACAAGGUCAAUGACUUUCAAACUAAAUUUACGGGAUGACGGAUUCCCUUCGAGGCCCUAUUUAUAAUUCAGAUGCUAACGCAGACUUCCGUUUGCUAUUUAUCAACGAUCAAGUCCGAGAAUAAACUUGAACCCUGCUGUUGUUUCGUUCUUGUCUUGUGGCAAAGUAUCAAUCAGCGGGUGGCCAGUUUAGUUCUAAAACUCGUGUGUACAAAUAAUUAAAAAUGACGAUCUCGAUUCAAAAAGCAAAAUCGCUCCACGUCGGACAUCGUUGAACGAUUAAUAUCUUUACACAACGAGGAGCGUGAUGGACGGAGUGGCGUUUGAUUUAUAUGAAAAAAGGUACA